Molecule: RNA transcript, 2007 nt
Organism: Brachypodium distachyon (stiff brome)
Lineage: Eukaryota; Viridiplantae; Streptophyta; Magnoliopsida; Poales; Poaceae
Exons: 4
Source: RefSeq, a predicted model, not a curated record
AGUAACCACGAAUACCGGCGACCUCCGGCAAAAUUUUGCAUUCGGUAGCCCAAAACAACAUUUCGGUUGCUCACACUGUAUCUUAACUAAAUUCUCUUUUUCGAUAAGCAGAACCUCCGUUGUCAAGGACGAUAAAUCCCCGGGCUUUAUUAUACGCGAUCGGAACGAACAAAUCCACUGGCCUCAUCUCCUCCUCCCGCCCAAACAAACGUCUCCCCAACUCCCUUCCCCGCGCCUUCGCCCUCUCGUCAUCAAGACCAAGAAAACGCCGCCCCGUUUCUUGAUCCGUGAUCCCCAUCUCCUUGCGCAGCGCAGCAAUGGAGCUCUUCAAGAACGCGCGGUCCGUGCGGCUCAAGAGCCACCUGGGCACGUACCUCUGCGCCCCCGACGACGGCGCCGUCUCCCACGGCUACCGCCGCAACCCGCGCGGCGCCGUCUGGGCCGUGGAGCCCGCCGGCGAGGACUGCGUGCGCCUCCAGGGCCACAAGGGCCUCUACCUCGGCGCCACCGAGCUCCCCGCCGACCUCGACUCCGGCGGCCGCGGCACGAGGUCCUGCUGCAGGGUCGUCCUGGGUUCCCCUUCCUGCCCCAACGACAACGCCUUCCUCUGGUCGCCGCUGCGCGAGGGGAAGACGAAGAACCUCCUCACGCUCUCCGGGCCCUACGGCCGCCUCCUCCGCGCCAGGUUCGGGCGGAGGCCCUCCAAGGACAACGCCGUCACCGUCGACCUGGGGGCCGACCCGGAGGAGAGCUCAUGGGAGGUCGAGGUCGUCGCCAUGGCGAAUGCGGCGCCGCCGCUGGCACGUGCGCCGCCCGGCGUUCUCGCCAGGUUCCACUCCACCAAGGAAGCGAAAGGCAAUAAGGUGUCGCCGGAGGAGGAAGAGGAGGAGGAGUGGAGCGAGGAGGAGGUCCUGCCGAAGCCGUCGGCGGCGCGGCGGAUCUUGUACAACACGGCCAGGGACGACGGCGGCGUGGACGGCUUGGAGGAGGGCACGUGGAAGGACUUUAUGUUCGACGGGCAGAGCCUCGUGGCGCUGCGCCGCAGGCUGGAGGAGGAGACCCGGCGCACCGACUUCGUCGUCUGCCGCCGGAUGGGCGCCCGGCUGUUCCCCGUCGUCCUGGACCUCCCUCCCGGCAACAAAGGCAUGGAGUUCAUCCUCGUCCUGCAAUCCUCUAGAGUGGCAAACGGUCUCGUUUAGGAUGGACGUGGCCCGGCAUCAAUGCAGGCAAAGAUUUUUGCACAGGACUGAAUAUACUUGUGUCUGCUCUGCUAUGAAAGUUCAGACACCUAGGACAUUGUUAGCUUGAACAGAUGGACAGAAAGUAAUCCAACUAUUACUGGAGGAUCUUCUUGGAGCGUUGGUGGUGUUGUACUGCACUGCUUUCUCAUCAGUAGUUCAGUGUCAUCUAUCAUGUGUUUCUGCUAGUUGCUUUCAACUUUUCAAGGUCUUACUAUAUUGGCAGCAGUGCAUAUGCAAGCUGACCUUACUCAAGCUGGAGCAUGGAUGAAUUCUUAGUUGCUGGUAUGUUAUACUCUACGUUAGAUCUUUAGCAAAAGCCAUUUGUAUUUUAUGAUUAGGGAGUUAGUCAACUUGGCAAUUUGAUAAUCCCGAGGAAGUCAAAUUAAACAUAUACUCACUCUGUCCAACAAAAGAUGUCUCAAGUUUGAAAUUUGGUGUAUCUAGACAUAACUUAGUGUAUAGAUGCAAGUUUGUUAAAAUUUGGAUGUAUCUAGACAUGACUUAGUGUCUAGAUGCAAGUUUGUUAAAAUUUGGAUGUGUCUAGACAUGACUUAGUGUAUAGAUGCAUUCAAAUUUGGUCAAAGUUAAAACAUCUUUUGUUGGACGUAGGAGUAUCUUAAGCCAAGAACAUGUGCAAAUAUAUCGAACAGAGAGGGAAUCCCCACAUGAUUUUCAUUCACAGUUUUUCUGUCUAUUGAGUCUUCACGGCCCAUUACAAGAUUGGUUGAAGAGGACCAGAGAACACAAAGGGAUGGAAGAAGAGACA